Molecule: ribosomal RNA, 393 nt
Filed under: uncultured bacterium
Lineage: Bacteria
Description: partial 16S ribosomal RNA
Rfam family: Bacterial small subunit ribosomal RNA
Source: RNAcentral
AUACGGAGGAUGCGAGCGUUAUCCGGAUUUAUUGGGUUUAAAGGGUGCGUAGGCGGUCGGGUAAGCGUAGGGUGAAAGUCCUCUGCUCAACAGAGGAAGUGCCUUCCGAACUGUCCGACUGGAAUGCUCCUGCCGUGGGAGGAAUGUGUGGUGUAGCGGUGAAAUUCAUAGAGAUCACACAGAACACCGAUUGCGAAGGCAUCUCACGAAGGGGCUAUUGACGCUGAGGCACGAAAGCGUGGGGAUCAAACAGGAUUAGAUACCCUGGUAGUGCACGCAGUAAACGAUGAUGACUAACCGUCGGUCAAGACUGAUCGGUGGCCAAGCGAAAGCGAUAAGUCAUCCACCUGGGGAGUACGACCGCAAGGUUGAAACUCAAAUGAAUUGACGGGG